This 253-nucleotide ribosomal RNA is filed under the name uncultured bacterium. RNAcentral's name for it is "partial 16S ribosomal RNA". It matches the Rfam family "Bacterial small subunit ribosomal RNA", at positions 524 to 776 of the family's 1533-position model. The record is from RNAcentral.
UACGUAGGGUGCGAGCGUUAAUCGGAAUUACUGGGCGUAAAGCGUGCGCAGGCGGUUUUGUAAGCCAGGUGUGAAAUCCCCGGGCUCAACCUGGGAAUGGCAUUUGGGACUGCAAGGCUGGAGUGUGGCAGAGGAGACUGGAAUUCCUGGUGUAGCAGUGAAAUGCGUAGAUAUCAGGAGGAAUACCGAUGGCGAAGGCAAUCCCCUGGGCCUGCACUGACGCUCAUGCACGAAAGCGUGGGGAGCAAACAGG